AGCUCCCGAUCCCUCCUUCUCCCUGUUCGUGCUAUGCGGCCGUUGGUACUAGUAUUUUCGUUCGAUUAUUGCUGGUUACGAUCGGUUGCGUUGUCGUUUGGAGUAGAUCCGCGGGCGGGCGGUUCCGCGGUGGCAUUGUUAUUGCUGAUCGAUUGCGGUUAAGUCGAUGUGAAUUUCCUCUGGAUUUUGCCUGUUUUGUCGAGUAGAUCUGCGGAUUUGAGGCGCGAUUGGUGCUAGGGUCGCUCUAUAGUACAUAGCUCAGGUUAUAUCUGUUAUAUUGCAAGUAUGCCUGACUUUCAGUAAUUUACGUGCUUAGUCUUUGUGCACCUCGUACUUGUUUGUAGAAUCUGUUGCUGUGCAUCGAUCAACUCUGAAAUUGUUCAUCUGUUAAGGUGUAGAUGGGCGACUCUGCUCUGUUGGUGCUAAAUGUUCGCAGUAUUCCGGUAGAUUCUUGAUUUUUGUAGCGCUCAGGUAGCAAUUAAAUUCUCUACGUGCCUGAUUUGUGAAGGGAUAUAAGCCUGGAAUUUGUUGAUGGGCAGCUUGUAGUUGCUUGUAGGAUCCGUAGUUGUGCACCCGACUCUAUUCUGGACUUCAUGUGAGUGGGAUGAUAUUACUGCUGGUUCAUCUAAGUGUGUUGUGUACUUUACCAUAGAACUGCUAGAAGUUGGAUCAAACUAGUUACACGAGUGGCUUUUUUCUUCUUUAUGUUGAUAUGUUCGGUUGUUCGUAACUACAAUUUCUCUACUGGAUCGUGGCAUAGCGGUUCUGUUCUGAAGAUAUCCGUGUACUGUGCCUUAGUAGGCCUGGAAUUUACUGAUAAGCAGGUUGCAGUUGCUUGUAUAAUCCGUAGUUGUGUAUCCAACUCUAUUCUGUAAGUCAUGUGAGCUGUAUGAUACUACUGUUGAUUCA
Molecule: non-coding RNA, 909 nt
Organism: Lolium perenne
Lineage: Eukaryota; Viridiplantae; Streptophyta; Magnoliopsida; Poales; Poaceae
Source: RefSeq, a predicted model, not a curated record